This 434-nucleotide ribosomal RNA is filed under the name uncultured archaeon. Its description in RNAcentral is "bacterial SSU rRNA". It matches the Rfam family "Archaeal small subunit ribosomal RNA", at positions 19 to 458 of the family's 1478-position model. The record is from RNAcentral.
GGACCUGACUGCUAUCGGAUUGAUACUAAGCCAUGCUAGUCUUUGUAGUAAUACAAGGCAUACGGCUCAGUAACGCGUAGUCAACCUACCCUAUGGACGGGAAUAAUCUCGGGAAACUGAGCAUAAUACCCGGUAGACCACUUCUCCUGGAAUGGUUAGUGGUUAAAAUGAUUCGUCGCCAUAGGAUGGGACUGCGGCCUAUCAGCUUGUUGGUGAGGUAAUGGCCCACCAAGGCGAUUACAGGUACGGGCUCUGAGAGGAGAAGCCCGGAGAUGGGUACUGAGACAAGGACCCAGGCCCUAUGGGGCGCAGCAGGCGAGAAAACUUUGCAAUGUGCGAAAGCACGACAAGGUUAAUCCGAGUGAUUUCUGCUAAAGAAACCUUUUGUCAGUCCUAGAAACACUGAUGAAUAAGGGGUGGGCAAGUUCUGGUGU